RNAcentral lists this long non-coding RNA (5207 nucleotides) under Nicotiana tabacum (common tobacco). RNAcentral describes it as "long non-coding RNA (NTAB_LNC000839)". Lineage: Eukaryota; Viridiplantae; Streptophyta; Magnoliopsida; Solanales; Solanaceae. The record is from RNAcentral.
AAAGAUAAUUUCAUACUUGUGUAGUAAGAUUACCCCCGAAAAAUAAAAUGACGAAGCAAUACCAUCCGUUGACUAAAUAUUACAACAUAAUACACCACAUUCAUUUGUUUAGCUUCAUUAGUCCAAUUGCAUUUUUAGCUUGCUUCUAUGAGAAUGAGAAAGAUAAAAACAAUCAGAUAAAUCGUGUUCAUGUUGGUAGUCCCACUAAUACAAAAUAUUGGAUAAAAUUUGGACAGUUGCAGUUGACAACAAAUACUUCAUCUUAUAUCCACCUAAAGAAAAGAAAAUCAAGCAUUAGUAUUAUUGGUAAGACUUACAUAUGGUAGUAUAACAAUCAUAAAAUUCAGCUAGUUUGCAUAUUCAGCAAAACAAUCAUAAAUUCAUUAAUUUUGGAGGAAAAAGAGGGGCAUAAAAUAUCAGCAUGGACUAAGAGGAGAAAGAAAAGAUUCAGACACGGUAGACCUAUUGAAAUGCCCCCAUCAAAGGCAUGUUCUAAAUCUGAAUUGGGUCUCUUCUUUUUAGCAAUCUAUAGCUAGGCAUUAAAUAAUGAUUUACAACCUUGGAGGACCUAUUUAGGGAUAUGAACCUUUAACCUAUUUCAUUGGAGGAGACUAUCUUCAUUGAUUUUGGUAUUGAUGUAAUAACUGAAAAGUGAUACACACCAAAUUUAAAAUAGAAAAUCUGCAAUAGAAGCACUACCAGUAAAUCACAAUUCACAACCAUACUCGCAUAUUCUGUGACUUAGGAGAGAUCAUGUAGUGGUAUUUCUAUUUCAAUCACCUGACCCUACUCUAUUCAUGAGAACAACUGCUAUCUAUGUUGAAUGAAUGCGUCCAGGUUACUACAAAAAUUUCUAGACAAAUUCUAACUUCUGCAAAUACUACUUCAAUUGCCUUAUUUCUAUUAUAUACUUACAAGCAACGACCAUCUCAUCAUGACCAUCUAUCGAAGAGAUGCACCAAAAAGAUCUGAAAAACAUAAAGCAGAUAAACGAACCUUCAAAAUAUAAGUUUUGAGUAGUAUUUAAACACAUGUUAAAGGAUACAAUGAAAAGAAGCAUAUUGCCAACGACAAGUCUGUUUUUUCAUUUCCUUGCAAAACUUACUAAUGACAAACUAAGUGAAUGUGUGGGCUAAAGAUGUUGCAACCUGAUCAUUCUAGAUAUGUCCAUGUUAUUGUCCUUGGUGGGGCUUCAGUGAGAGUUCAUCAUUUAUAAUUUGCUGCUUUUGAGGCUAGUGAAAAAUAUUCAACAUGUUGUGCGAGAGAUUUGGAAACAACAGUUAUCACUUAUCACAUGCCAUCAGUUCUUGCUCGAUCCUUAUCUAUAUGAAAUAAAGCGUGCGUCUAUACCGAUAAGUAGAUAUUGAUUGAUCUCAACUAAUCAAGGGGAAAAUGUUUGAUAUUUUGGUCAAUUCAAAAUAUCAUAAUAAAAAUACCCCCGUACCCUGACAACUUAAAAAAAGUGAAAAGAAGAAAGGAAUGUUGAGGCUAGGAAUGAAGUGCAAAGAGAAAACUGGAGAAAUAAAACUCACAUGCAGACAUCCACUAAUCAAACAAAUCAAAUGCUCAAAAAACAAAAUCAGAGAACAUAGCUUACCAAUUAAUACAAUCGCAGCACACCAGAUUGAUCGGCAAAGGACUGUCAAUCCAACUAAAGAAGAUACUAUCAUGUGACAGAAGCAUUAUUCAAAGUUCAAACUUGCCGCAAUUAUUACUCCCACCGUUCCAGUUUAUGUAAACCUAGCUAUUUCCUUUUUGGUCCGUUCCAAAAAGAAUGACCCCUUUCUAAAUUUGGAAACAAUUUAGCUUAAACUUCCAAUUCUACCCUUAAUGAGAAGCUUUUAUAACCACACAAAUACUCUGGUCCCCAUUUUGACUUGUUUAGGACCACAAAUUCUAAAAAAGUCAUCAUUUUUUCUUAAACUCCGUGAUCAGUCAAACAUGUUCACAUAAAUUGGAACAGAGGGAGUAUUAUUGAAAAAAAUGGAAGGGAAGGAAAAGAUAAAGCUGUAAUUUUGAUUACUUUUGCUCCACGCGUAUAGUAGUCACCGGAACAUCUAUGUACAAGAUAAAAAGUCAUAAGCAAGCUGCGGUAAGGACUUUAUUUUCCUGCAAAACAAUUGUUGAUGUAUAGAAAAACAUGUUACUAAUUUAUAUGAGGGAAUCAAUUAGGAUAUUUGCGAACGAACAUUUAAACUUGUUGCUAAAUUUUUAUGUUUGAGUAGCUUAGUAACUUUUAUUCUCUGUGUAAAAGCAUAGGAGUUAGCAGGACUUCAGAAUAUGCAAGCAUUUGAACUAUCUCGGAGGAGUUGAUUGAAAUAUUUCAAGAAUUUCUCAAGGAUUAAUCUUCAUUUCCUGCACAUACUCUAGUCCCUCUCGAGAUAGUAAUUCUGGGGUUUUCACAUUAUAAAAUGACAUAAAGAUGAUCUCCGAAUGAUCUUCUUAGCUGCUACUUGAUUUUCAAAUGUAUCAACCAAAUCAGACAACCCAAUGAAUGAAAGCUCUUAAUCUUCAUUAUACUCCAGCAUAGAGCGAUAAUGUCUCAAAUUCUAGAGUAAUCUUAAUAUCUCGUUCUGAACACUUAUGUCAUUUGAGUAUCAAAUAAAUCUCAGUUGUAACCUAAAAGCAACAACCAUAAAUUCCAGCUUUGUUUCUUUGAUACUAUGUUGUAGAUUAGUUUUAUGGAGUUACAACCAACAAAUCAGAAGUAGAAAGAUUCAAAAAAUGACGAAGAAACAAUAAUAAUUCAACGAUGAUAGAUAAACAAAAUUGAUUGUCCUUGUAAUAUUGCAUAGAUCAGAGAGCUAUUGUUGAAAUGUGAGACCCGUUUGGCCAUAGAUCACUUUUGACACGGAACCAACCCCCAGAGGAAACAGAGGGACAACAACACAAAACUGCAGCACAUCCCUAUUUUUAUUUCUAAAGCAAGAAAGAACAACGACACUGCCACUCUUCAAUUAAUUUCUAAAUCAAUUCCCAAAUAGAAUUUCAGUGCACCUUUAUCAUCUCUCAACGCAAUUCUAAUGUGCAAAGUCGCCCAAACCUGUAGAAGUAAGAGGUUCUUACUCCCAUGUAGUCUAAAUACUUUUUUUCUUACUAUUUUCUUCAAUCCUUUAUCUUCUUUUUUAUAACAAGAAUAAGUACAACUAUAGAUUUGUUGCCUAACAUAAACUUUUCCUAAGCAUUCAUCCCACAAAUCAAAGUAGGCAAAUAACUUUAAGCUUUUCCUAAUCAUGUAUAUUCCAAUCAAUCAACCUCCAUUCCAUACAUCAUCCUAUUUCUUUGGAUGCUGUCAUAGCCAAAAAGAAGUGACAAAAUAAGACGGUAAACUUUCCUCUUCCAUUGUUAUCUUCGAGAAAUAGAGUAAGACAGUGGACACAUAGAAGGUUUGAAGAUGAAAUUUCAUAAAGAUACCCCACGCCCUAGAUCACUUUCAGCAUUCUAAAGAUGCCAAGUGAAUGUAGAAAUUUGAAAGUUCUAAAAGAUGGAUAUAUAUUCUUUGUUCCGAGUUGGCGAUUUUGGUGUUAUAGAUGUAGUUUAUUGUAAGGUCUGUAAUGUUAUUUGAAAAGUGUUCAUGACGGCUAGUAAGAUGAUAAAGCCCAUAAUACUGUAUGUAAUACCCGAAAGAAUUGUACUCUAGCUAGUUUGUUGAACAUACCAUCACAAUCUCGGUGUUGUUUGUAAUUAGAAAAUUUACCUUUUUAAUCAAAAGCAAUAUAAGGAGAAAAUAUGGUCAAAGUAUAGAAUCAGAUAUGCUGAGCACAUUUUUCCUGAAAUAAAAAGAACUCAAUUUAGUAAAAAUUUUGAUUCAUAUCUUCUCAAGCUCAACCUGAGACUAUACUUUCCUAAAGUCGGAAUAGGAUCGUUCUCCACUUCACGAGAUUUUAAAAAGAACAACUUAAUUUUGUAAAUACUUCAUUAAUCAUUUUUCCCAAAUAAAGUUUUUAAACAUAUAAAAUCUCUAUAAGAAGACAAAAGUGAAAGAACACAAGUAUUUUUCUUGGCUGUACAUUAAAAAUAAAAAGAAUGCAUUUGAAACAUUAGUUUGCUAAUUUCAGUACUGUUGAAGAAGCCUUGUAAAACAUUAAAUUCGGAUAGCCUAACAUACAAUUAUUUCUUGUUAGCUAAGAAGUCCUUUAAAGUAUGCAUCAACUACCGUCAACAGUCAGAUAAAUAUUACUUCUCAUUUAAUUCUAUCCUCUCAUGUCUACAGCAGUUUAGAAAAUCCACAAAAUUGUUUAGAUCCUGGGGCCAUCUUACAAUUACACCAAGAAUACACAAACUGCAAUGACUUGAAUUGAAUACAUGCUAAGGCCCAAUAAGUAUUUUGAAAAAAACUAUAGUUUCUUUCCACAUUGUGCAAAAAAAGCACGAAGGAACUUAUUACUGGAUGUCUUUGUGAAUGUAAUAGAAAAUCUCAUGAAUUAAGCAUAAAAAACCUUUUGUUCUUGGGGAUAAUUGCAUUUUUAAUGAGUUACUAAUAUUGAAAAGGGGAAGUAAGUAAAAGUAAACCAAAAUGUGCAGAACUUACCUGGUACAAGUGAAGCAAUAUUCCUUUCCCCACUUUCAGUUAACAACUUCCUUUAAGAAAAAUCUGAAAAAUCAAUAUUUUGGGACCAUUAUAUUCCUACUAAAUGAAUACAAAAAUAUUCGGUAAUAUCAAAAGUUCAUAUUUCAAACAAAACCCAAGUAAGCGAUACACUAUUCAGUUUAAUAGAGUCUCGUCAAAAAAUAAUAAAAUAGGAGUAAUAAUUUUGAAAAAGAAGAAGAUAAACCCAAUUAAAGAACAUUGUGUGAGAAAAAUAUUGUGCAUGAGUAAAUCAAACAUAUCUACUGACAUGUAUGUAUAACAUUCAAUAAAAUACUGCCCAAAAGUUCAAGAUGCCCAAAAAAUUAUAUUAAAAACAGGAUCCAAACACAUGCAUAGCCGAGAAAACAGAGGAAGAUGCAAAGAAGGUGUCCAAUUCCCUGCUUCUUAGUAGGAGAAACUGAUAGAUAAGUCACCAAAGAAACCCCAAAUUUUCCAUCUUUCAAUUUUCUUUUUCAAACUUUCAGUUCAUACACUUUGAAAACCUAAAUAGACACAAUUCAAUAAUGUAGCCACAUAAGACUCACCAAUCCUUGUAACAUUAAAAAAAUUAGAAAUGGUAAAAGAUAAAAGAUAAAAGAUAUUCUCCAUCUUCAUAAUAGCCAAAGGUAACACAUAA